This 429-nucleotide ribosomal RNA is filed under the name bacterium. RNAcentral describes it as "partial 16S ribosomal RNA". It matches the Rfam family "Bacterial small subunit ribosomal RNA", at positions 355 to 776 of the family's 1533-position model. The record is from RNAcentral.
UAGGGAAUCUUCCACAAUGGACGCAAGUCUGAUGGAGCAACGCCGCGUGAGUGAAGAAGGUUUUCGGAUCGUAAAGCUCUGUUGUUGGUGAAGAAGGAUAGAGGCAGUAACUGGUCUUUAUUUGACGGUAAUCAACCAGAAAGUCACGGCUAACUACGUGCCAGCAGCCGCGGUAAUACGUAGGUGGCAAGCGUUGUCCGGAUUUAUUUGGCGUAAAGCGAGCGCAGGCGGAAUGAUAAGUCUGAUGUGAAAGCCCACGGCUCAACCGUGGAACUGCAUCGGAAACUGUCAUUCUUGAGUGCAGAAGAGGAGAGUGGAAUUCCAUGUGUAGCGGUGGAAUGCGUAGAUAUAUGGAAGAACACCAGUGGCGAAGGCGGCUCUCUGGUCUGCAACUGACGCUGAGGCUCGAAAGCAUGGGUAGCGAACAGG